RNAcentral lists this long non-coding RNA (712 nucleotides) under Brachypodium distachyon (stiff brome). RNAcentral describes it as "long non-coding RNA (BDIS_LNC002871)". Lineage: Eukaryota; Viridiplantae; Streptophyta; Magnoliopsida; Poales; Poaceae. The record is from RNAcentral.
CUUACUUCCACGAAUUAUAUAUCGUGUGGUUGUCCGCUCGAUGAACCGACAAACUAGGGGCGUGUGGUGGGUUGAUAGGAUGAAAGUUUUUCUUUUUGAAGAAAAGUGGGUAGAUGAAAGUUGGUGAAUGCUAAUCUGAGUAAAAGCUUGCACUACAUUUCAGAAACAUGCAAGGUCAAGGAAUAACUAGUUGGGGAGAUCUUUUUUCCUUUUCUUCAGCAGGACUUCCCAAUGACAAGGGAACAUGUUCCGGGGGAGAAAAAUGCAGAAUAAGUGGUUCAUACUCCAUACAAGAGUAUUCCUUUACGCAAGAGUGACUUGCCUAUCGCCAGGAUCAAUCAGUACUAGACUAAUAUGAAAGUACAACAUGGUAUAUGUAUGCAGCAGAAUGAGUGGUUCAUAUAGAAUUCAUACGUACACAUGGUCUUUAGGCAGGAGUCACACAACAAGCUAAGAGGAGGAUCAACCCUUUCAAAAAAGAAAAAAAAAAAGGAGGAUCAAUCACUAGACUAAGACUAGACCAGCUGACUAGGCCAAGUAAUGUGAAAGUAGGCAACACUUUGAUGAGUACAGUACAGUGCACACACCUAUGAGGCUAUGUGGUUAAGGAACUACAGAAGGUCAGAUGCUAGCAACUAGGAGUAGAUCUAUGCACCUUGCCAAAAGAGAGGCACACAGAGCACUGAAAAACUAAGAGGUGAUAGAAAGGCUG